This is a non-coding RNA of Mycena amicta, 83 nucleotides long. The record is from the annotation of a GenBank genome assembly. NCBI's taxonomy places the organism in Eukaryota, Fungi, Basidiomycota, Agaricomycetes, Agaricales, Mycenaceae.
UCUCGACUAGUAUAUCGGUUAGUACACGCGCCUGUCAAAAAAUUGGUGCGCGCGAAAGCUGGGUUCGACUCCCAGGUCGAGAG